Molecule: ribosomal RNA, 440 nt
Filed under: uncultured bacterium
Lineage: Bacteria
Description: partial 16S ribosomal RNA
Rfam family: Bacterial small subunit ribosomal RNA
Source: RNAcentral
CCUACGGGUGGCAGCAGUAGGGAAUAUUGCUCAAUGGGGGAAAGCCUGAAGCAGCAACGCCGCGUGAGGGAUGAAGGUUUUAGGAUUGUAAACCCCUUUUGUGAGAGAAGAAAAGGACGGUAUCUCACGAAUAAUCACUGGACAACUCCGUGACCGCAACCGCGGUAAUACGGAGGGUGCAAGGGUUACUCGGAAUCACUGGGCGUAAAGAGUGCGCAGGUGGGAUUGAAAGUCAGGUGGUAAACGCUGUAGGUUAAACAGAGAACUGCAUGUGAAACUGUAAGUCUAGAGUGUGUGAGAGGUAGGUGGAAUUCUUGGUGUAGCGGUGAAAUCCGUAGAUAUCUGGAGGAAUACUGAUUGCGAAGGCGACCUACUGGCACAUAACUGACGCUGAGGCACGAAAGCGUGGGGAGCAAACAGGAUUAGAUACCCCUGUAGUC